RNAcentral lists this long non-coding RNA (4271 nucleotides) under Cervus hanglu yarkandensis (Yarkand deer). RNAcentral describes it as "lncRNA (ENSCHYG00000007144.1)". The record is from RNAcentral. Lineage: Eukaryota; Metazoa; Chordata; Mammalia; Artiodactyla; Cervidae.
AGGUGGGGGUCGAAGGGGAGGAAAGUCCAUCCCGGGUUUUCGGACCGGCCUCCGGUGCGCUUGGGCAGGUUGCAGCGGCCGGUCCCGGGCGGCGGCUCCGGGCCGGGUUUUGCGCGUGCCCGCCGCCCCCCUCCCGGAGCGGGUGCGCCUGGGAGAGGGGCGAGCAGGCGGCUUGUCAUUGCUGGUGCCCGGCGCCCGCUCGGUCCGCGCGUCCUGCGGUGCCCACGGGCCCGGCCCGGCGCCCCCCCAUCCGGCCACCCCGGGGGCGCGACGCCGCCGCGCCCGCCUACAACCGCGCCACCCACCAACAAGCUCCGCGCCGCCCGCCCCCUACCCGAGCCCCCCGUGGCCACUGCGGGGAGCCCGAGCCGUCGGCGCGGGAGUUGUCGGCGCUGCGGCGCCCCCGCCCCGCCGUCUGCCGAGGAGGCCCCGGCGAAUGGGGCCGCGUGGGCCCCGGAGCGGCGCCGCCGGGCGGCGGGGGGCUGCAGGGGCUUCCUAGCUGCCCCGUUAACCCCUCGGCUACCGCCGUCGGAGGGGGCUGGGAAGUCGCCUGGGCGCACACGUGCCGCCUCCGUCGGGGCCGCGGAGCUGCGGGGAAGAUGCGGGCAGCUGUUGGCGCCGCCUCGGGGGGCUCCGCCUCGCCCCAGCCCCCGGAGCUCUGACGCCGCCCCCGCCCCGCCGCCUCCGCCGCCUCCCUCUCCGGGAGGGGCGCGGACGCUCGCCCCCAGCCCCGAGUCUCUGCCGCCGCGAGGGGGCCGCCUUUGGAGCUGUGUAAUCCGCUUCUUUUUUUUUUUUUUUUUUCCUAAUUUUUGGUUGGUGACAGCGGUUCUGGGCCCCGCCACCCCUCGCCCGAUUUCCCCCCUAUCCCGGCUCCGGGAGAUGUGCCGGGCGGGGGUCCUGGGUUCGCGGAGCCGCAGGAGAGACGCGCAAGGCCGACCCCGGAGCGGCGCUGGACAGCCAGACCCAGACGUGUGACCAAGGACACACAGAAGGCUCUGAUUUCUGUGUGGGCUCCUCGCAAGGAUUCAAUUUCCAGAUGCCAGACAGUUCCCCUCCUCCAGACCCUCCAGGGAGGUGAGGAGGGGGAUGAUGCUCCUGAGAUGGGGGUUCCCUGGGUCCGGAACUGUACCUGACUGCACCAGCGCCCCUCCCAGCCCUGGGCUCAGCCACCCUGAUGAAAGAGAAAGCGGGGUCCCAGGUGGGAGGGGGGGCUGCGGAACAGAAGCCUGGGAGCAGGUCCCACCGCCCUGAGAAUCCAGGCUGCUGUGACCUGUGGUACCUGUGCUGUGAUUAGGAUGGUAACCUGGACGAGCCUGCAUGUGGCCACGUGUCCGACAGGCUGGUCGCGUGUUCAUAAGGGUCUCCUGGGUGCUAGUGUUUGUGAGUUUUGCAGAGGGGAUGUGUGUGUGUUUCCAUGUGUCAGGGGCUGUCUGUGUCUUGUGUGCACCUGCAAGUGUGUGCAUGUGUGGCUCCUGGGAGCAAAGCUGGGCAGACCUCUUCAUGAAACCCGUGAAUAUUUGCCAAGUGUCUUUUUCACUCAGCGCUGUGCUGGGGACUCCAGGGGGACAGUACCCCAGUCCUGUCCUCAGGGAGCUCACAGUCUAGUGACGCGAGCAAUUUCAGUCAAGGGGCUCCUGUCAUAAGAUUUGGGGAAAAGGCAUAUAUCUCUCCAUCCAGAACGCCCAGAGUCCCAGCUGGGGAGGGGCAGGCCCUUCAUCUUGGCACCCCGAGCAUGGGGUGUCCCAGGGUCCAGACCUUUGUGAUCUUCCCUGUCACCCCUUCCACCUCGCCCCCCUCUCCUCACUGCUCCUAGGCAUGCAGUUCAACCACAGGCCCUUUGCACUGGCGGCUCCUUCGCCUGGGCCCCUCCCCUGACAUGCAAAGCUUUUGCUCCCUCACCCACAUCGGAUGUCCUCUCCUCAGUAACCUUUAUUUACCCCAUGCAACCUGUUUAAAAUUUCAGCCUCCCACCCGCCUCCUGACUUUUCCCUAACAAGGAUGACUUUUCACACAUUCUGUAAUUUACUGAUUUAUUGUGUUUGUUGGUUUAUUGUCUGUCUUCCCCGACCAGGACCCAAGCUCUUGGGGAAUUUGUUCCUGGUUUGCUUUUGGACGCCAGGUGCCUAGACUCAGGCCGGGCUCACAGUAGGCGCUUGAGAACUCUUAGCUGAGUGAAUGGAGGAGGGGGUCACCUCUCAAAGGACAGAGGCCCCAAGGGACUCCCCUUCCCUGGCUUUGCACAUUGAGGGGUCCCUGUAGACCCUGGUCCUCUUGGGGAAGGCCAGCUCGGCACCUGUCCCAUGCACCCACUUGUGAGGCAGCUCCCUGAGAGGGCUUCAUGGGUGCCCAGUGUGUGAGGGUGUCCCUGUGGGCAGGCGUGGGGCAGUGUGCAUAUAGGGUUUAGAGCCCAGAGGGUCAUGUGGGGGCUCCAGCCCUUGCUGGGGGUAGGAGUGUCACGGUCAAGGCCUGAGCAGCUUUGAUCCAGGGGGACACUGACUCAGACUCUCAUAGGAUGAUGGGACCCCCCCCCCCCAACCUUGUUUCAGAUCCUAGGAAAUCAGCCAAGCAAAAGCCCCGUCCGCCGCCCACCUCAGCGCAGUGCUCAGUCGUUCAGUCAUGUCCGGUCCUUUGCGACCUCAUGGACAGUGGCCUGCCAGGCUCCUCUGUCCAUGGGGUUUUCCAGGCAAGGAUACUGGAAUGGGUUGUCAUGCCCUCCUCCAGGGGAUCUUCCCGACCCAGGGAUUGAACCCGCGUGUCUUGCGUCUCCUGCAUAGGCACCCGAGCUCUUUACUACUGCGCCACCCACUCCUACACCAUCCUCCCCCAAAUCCAAAAUUUGGGGAAGAUAAAAGUUGCAAUAAUUAGAUGCUCAGGCUAAAAAUAGCCUUGUUCCCCCGCUUCCCAAAACUAAAAACAGCCAGGGCCUUUCCCUCCAAGGCUAAAAAUACCAGGCAGACCAGGAAGCCAGGUGGGUGGUCCUAUCUGGGGUCAGGGAGGUGAGGCAGACAGGCUUGGGGCCCAGGACAGGGUCUCCCAGCCAUGGCGUUCCUGACAUUGGGGCUGUGUCAUUCAUUCUUUGGGAGGAGGCCUGGACUUUUCAGCAUCCUUCGCCUCCACCCUCUACGCCCUGGUAUCCAGGAGCAUCCCCCCACCCCCGAGUUGUGACACCUAAAAGGCCUCCAGAUUUUGCCAAACAGCCUGUGGAGAGGGGCAAAAUCAUGGGCCCUCCCAGGUGAGUACCACUGCUCUAGAUCAAGGGUCUGCAGACUCCCUCUGUGAAGACCCAGGCAGCCAGUGUUGGAGACAUUGGUGGGCUUACCAGCUCUGUUGCAUAAACUUCUGCUGCCACUUUUUCUUAAUCCUUUGAAAGCAGCCAAGCUCAUUGACCAGGGGCAGUGCCCAGUCCAUAGGUGGUCAACUCCCACCCUGGCAGACCCACCCACCCUUUUUUGCCCCUGGUGAUGGAGGUCAGGGUGCCCUUGAAUGCACCCUCAUCAGCAGAGGGGCGAGUCUGGUGUUGUUUGUCCCUUUCACCUCCCUGCCCACACCCCCUGCCAUUGCCCUGUGCCCACUCUCACUGGUUGUCAAACACACUGGCCCCCCCGAACAGCCCCAGGGCCUUUGCACAAGCCAUGCUUGCUGCCUGGAAUGCUCUUCUCCUCCCUGGGCACCUCUGUGGCUCCUUCCUCACCUUCCCAGAGCUUUACUGACAUGUCUGGCCUUUCUCCAUUACUGAAUUUAACGUUGCAGAACACACACACAGACACACACACACUCCACUAGUCCAUCACGGGACUGACUUUUUUUAGUGUUUUUUAUGUCUGGCUCAUUCACAGCUGUCUCUCCACACCUCGAUCAGUGCCUCACGCAUAGUAGGUGCCUCUUUUAAGAGACGUGUAGGGACUUCCGUUGUGUUCCUGUGGUUAAGAUUCAGGCUUUCACUGCCAUGUUCCCAGAUUGGAUCCCUGGUCGGGGAAACUAAGGUCUCACAGGCUGUGCAGUGUGGCAAAUAAAUAAAAUAAAAGAGUCAUGUAGAAUUGCUGAAUAUUAUUUCUAAGCCCACAACCACCAUUGUGAGACUUGUGUCCCGUUUCCCCAGGGAAGAGGCAGAAUGCAGCGGAGGGACCGUGGUGGGGGCGGGGGGAGUUGCUUCGUCACACAGCCUAAAGUGGGCACAGCUGGGACUUAAACCCAGGACCCUGAGACCUGGAGUCUCUUCCCUCUUGCCCCGCUGAGCACCAUCUCCCCCGCCCUCUGGUCUCUGCCCCUUC